GCCACCUCAGGGGAAGCAACAGAUCGUCACUCGGUGUUCUCACCGAAAGCACGUAAUCGCCGGUGUAACUCAUGUUGGCUGGGGGGCCUCCCGGCGCGCGCGGAGAGGCUGGGGUGCGCCCCCAUGCAGCAUGCUUGUGCUCAAUUGCAGGGUCCUCGUUCUCGAGUGUGCAGAGGGCGGUGAGAGCUCAACUCUCGUCCCCACCUCCCACCCGCAGCUCCCCGGGUGGGUGAGGGAUGCCCUGGACUGGGGAUAGCCAGGUGGGAGUCCGUCGCUGUGUGGCCUGUGGUCUCGGAGUCUGUUCUCCUGGAGUCUCGCAUUUGCACCCCCUUCUUCGCAGUCCCCCUCCCAUAGACUUGCUCUGGGAAGCGCCUCUGCCUCCGACCCUAGCCGGAACCCCUUCGGGGCCAGAGUUUGAAGCCGUGGAUGUGCCUGCCUGGUGGCUUGUCCGAUUUGCACGGUGACUUGAUUACACUCUCUCAUUCAUGGUCACUUCCGAAGCGCUUUAGUGCCUUCCGUCCCUAAACCGCCAACAGCCAGAACGGCUUCUCCCCGCGGUUUGUCACUGAUCCGCAGGGCCCGGAAGGGCCUUCGUCUUACCCGGGAUCCACCUCUCCCCUCAUCUUCCCUGCCUGCCUCUUCAUCCCACCUUCUGUCCUUGGAGAAACCCCCUCCUCCUCGCUGCCUGCCGGGCUUCGGAGUGACUCGGCAGAGACAGAGGCACAGGGGCUGCCCUGCUGCUCACCGGUCCACCCAUCUGCCUGGUCUUCUGGAGCUGAGGACUCGGGAAACCAUGCAAUUGAGGCAAGCCUUGGGCUGCUUUAGAGGCGCUGACAUCCGAGGAGACUUCUCCUGGGAGGUCCAACAGCCGAGCUUAGCCCACCGGGCUCUGGGAAAGACCCGACUGAGGCUAAAGCCGCCCCGGAAGGCCAAGUCCGAGUUCCAUUUCUUGAAGAGGCCGGCGCGCGUAAGGCUGUGACAUUGGCCCUGGCGACUGGCUUCCCAGGAGCUGUUCUUUCUCAGGAGCUCCACAGCGCGGGCCAUCUCCAGAAAACUGUCUUCAGAGUGUAUUUCCUUUUAUCGUCAACCCAGAGCCCCACCGCGGCUAAUGCAAGAGGCCAAAAAAUGUUUGGAGGAAGAAAAACAAAGGCAGGAAGUGGCGGCCGCCUGACGGUGCGUGUGUGUCUGCAGAGAAGGGAGGGAGCCGGCUCAGUCUCUUCUUGUUUUUCCAAACUUCAAGGUCCAGGCAGCCCUCUGCAGGGCCGGGCCCCAUUGCUCCCCGCGCGGCAUUGGAGGUGGCCACCCGGAGAGGAGAAGGCCAACGCCUGCGCCAGGCUUGUCAGGCGGAAACGGCUAACAAGGAGAUUUGGUCAGCAAAACAGACCGAGCCUUUCCGAGGCUUCGUCUGACUUGGCCCGAAAGGUUGGGGAGGGGGGGCUUGCUCAGAGCCUCAGGGACCCUCCUCUCUGGGGACUACCAUCCCUGAGCCUUACGCUUCUUUCCACAGCCUUUGCAGGCGGAAUAUCGGAAUAAAGUGGGUCCAGGCGCC
This 1549-nucleotide antisense RNA is filed under the name Pan troglodytes (chimpanzee). The stretch from base 425 to 611 matches the Rfam family "HOXA11 antisense RNA 1 conserved region 2". Lineage: Eukaryota; Metazoa; Chordata; Mammalia; Primates; Hominidae. The record is from RNAcentral.